This 253-nucleotide ribosomal RNA is filed under the name uncultured bacterium. Its description in RNAcentral is "partial 16S ribosomal RNA". It matches the Rfam family "Bacterial small subunit ribosomal RNA", at positions 524 to 776 of the family's 1533-position model. The record is from RNAcentral.
UACAGAGGUCCCAAGCGUUGUUCGGAUUCACUGGGCGUAAAGGGUGCGUAGGCGGUCGGGUAAGUCUGACGUGAAAUCUUCAAGCUCAACUUGGAAACUGCGUCCGAUACUAUUCGGCUAGAGGAAUGGAGGGGAGACUGGAGUACUUGGUGUAGCAGUGAAAUGCGUAGAUAUCAAGUGGAACACCGGUGGCGAAGGCGGCAUCCUGGACCGACACUGACACUGAGGAGCGAAAGCCAGGGGAGCAAACGGG